Molecule: transfer RNA, 73 nt
Filed under: Stegodyphus mimosarum
Lineage: Eukaryota; Metazoa; Arthropoda; Arachnida; Araneae; Eresidae
Rfam family: tRNA
About the family: Transfer RNA (tRNA) molecules are approximately 80 nucleotides in length. Their secondary structure includes four short double-helical elements and three loops (D, anti-codon, and T loops).
Source: Rfam by way of RNAcentral
GCUUUCGUGGUGUAGCGGCCAGCACACUCGACCCGCAACCUAGAGGUCCGUGGUUCGAUUCCUGGCGAGGGCA